AGUGAACGCUGGCGGUAGGCCUAACACAUGCAAGUCGAACGGCAGCACAGUAAGAGCUUGCUCUUACGGGUGGCGAGUGGCGGACGGGUGAGGAAUACAUCGGAAUCUACUUUUUCGUGGGGGAUAACGUAGGGAAACUUACGCUAAUACCGCAUACGUCCUACGGGUGAAAGCAGGGGUUCUUCGGACCUUGCGCGAUUGAAUGAGCCGAUGUCGGUUUAGCUAGUUGGCGGGGUAAAGGCCCACCAAGGCGACGAUCCGUAGCUGGUCUGAGAGGAUGUACAGCCACACUGGAACUGAGACACGGACCAGACUCCGAGAGGAGGCAGCAGUGGGGAAGAUUGGACAAUGGGCGCAAGCCUGAUCCAGCGAUGCCGCGUGGAUGAAGAAGGCCUGCGGGUUGUAAAGCCCUUUUGUUGGGAAAGAAGAGCAGCAGGUGAAUACCCCGCUGUUCUGACGGUACCCAAAGAAUAAGCACCGGCUAACUUCGUG
Molecule: ribosomal RNA, 492 nt
Filed under: uncultured bacterium
Lineage: Bacteria
Description: partial 16S ribosomal RNA
Rfam family: Bacterial small subunit ribosomal RNA
Source: RNAcentral